GACGAACGCUGGCGGCGUGCCUAAUACAUGCAAGUAGAACGCUGAAGAGAGGAGCUUGCUCUUCUUGGAUGAGUUGCGAACGGGUGAGUAACGCGUAGGUAACCUGCCUUGUAGCGGGGGAUAACUAUUGGAAACGAUAGCUAAUACCGCAUAACAAUGGAUGACACAUGUCAUUUAUUUGAAAGGGGCAAUUGCUCCACUACAAGAUGGACCUGCGUUGUAUUAGCUAGUAGGUGAGGUAAUGGCUCACCUAGGCGACGAUACAUAGCCGACCUGAGAGGGUGAUCGGCCACACUGGGACUGGGACACGGCCCAGACUCCUACGGGAGGCAGCAGUAGGGCAUCUUCGGCAAUGGGGGCAACCCUGACCGAGCAACGCCGCGUGAGUGGAGAAGGUUUUCGGAUCGUAAAGCUCUGUUGUAAGUCAAGAACGGGUGUGAGAGUGGAAAGUUCACACUGUGACGGUAGCUUACCAGAAAGGGACGGCUAACUACGUG
Molecule: ribosomal RNA, 497 nt
Filed under: uncultured bacterium
Lineage: Bacteria
Description: partial 16S ribosomal RNA
Rfam family: Bacterial small subunit ribosomal RNA
Source: RNAcentral